GAUGAACGCUGGCGGCGUGCCUAAUACAUGCAAGUCGAACGAACGGGCGAGAAGCUUGUUUCUCUGAUGUUUGCGGCGGACGGGUGAGUAACACGUGGAUCACCUACCUAUACGACUGGGAUCACUUCGGAAAGCCAGAUAUAAUACCAGAUAAUAAUUUGAACCGCAUGAUUCAAUAGAGAAAGACGGUUUUGCUGUCACUAAUAGGUGGUUCCGCGCUUCAUUAGCUAGUUGGUAAGGUAACGGCUUACCAAGGCAACGAUGCAUAGCCGACCGGAGAGGGUGAUCGGCAAAACUGGAACUGAGACACGGUCCAGACUCCUACGGGAGGAAGCAGUAGGGAAUCUUGGGCAAUGGGCGAAAGCCUGACGGAGCAAGGCCGCGGGGGUGAUGAAGGUCUUCGGAUGUUAAAACCCUUUGAUUGGGAAAGAACAGAUGUGGAGUUAACUGUGCACAUCGUGACGGUACCUAAUCAGAAAGCCACGGCUAACUACGUG
Molecule: ribosomal RNA, 497 nt
Filed under: uncultured bacterium
Lineage: Bacteria
Description: partial 16S ribosomal RNA
Rfam family: Bacterial small subunit ribosomal RNA
Source: RNAcentral